AGCCUUGACAGCAUUUUCAUCAACCGGAUAAAUGGACACUUUCGUUAAGAUUUCUGUGUGCUUAAUUAACUCAAAGACACAGAUUUGUGCUGACCCAUUUUUAUUUUCUGCAUUUCUAUAGUACGUCAUAGGCCAAGUUUUCCCACCAGAAUUGCAUAAGGUCAGAUUACACUUGAGCCCUGU
Molecule: long non-coding RNA, 183 nt
Organism: Hibiscus syriacus
Lineage: Eukaryota; Viridiplantae; Streptophyta; Magnoliopsida; Malvales; Malvaceae
Exons: 2
Source: RefSeq, a predicted model, not a curated record